UACAAUGUCAAUGUUGUGAUGAACACUCCC
This 30-nucleotide non-coding RNA is filed under the name Rattus norvegicus (Norway rat). Lineage: Eukaryota; Metazoa; Chordata; Mammalia; Rodentia; Muridae. The record is from RNAcentral.